RNAcentral lists this ribosomal RNA (439 nucleotides) under uncultured bacterium. Its description in RNAcentral is "partial 16S ribosomal RNA". It matches the Rfam family "Bacterial small subunit ribosomal RNA", at positions 339 to 795 of the family's 1533-position model. The record is from RNAcentral.
CUACGGGAGGCUGCAGUGGGGAAUCUUAGACAAUGGGCGCAAGCCUGAUCUAGCCAUGCCGCGUGAGUGACGAAGGCCUUAGGGUCGUAAAGCUCUUUCGCUGGGGAAGAUAAUGACGGUACCCAGUAAAGAAACCCCGGCUAACUCCGUGCCAGCAGCCGCGGUAAUACGGAGGGGGUUAGCGUUGUUCGGAAUUACUGGGCGUAAAGCGCGCGUAGGCGGAUCAGAAAGUUGGGGGUGAAAUCCCAGGGCUCAACCCUGGAACUGCCCUCAAAACUCCUGGUCUUGAGUUCGAGAGAGGUGAGUGGAAUUCCGAGUGUAGAGGUGAAAUUCGUAGAUAUUCGGAGGAACACCAGUGGCGAAGGCGGCUCACUGGCUCGAUACUGACGCUGAGGUGCGAAAGCGUGGGGAGCAAACAGGAUUAGAUACCCUCGUAGUC